Molecule: non-coding RNA, 179 nt
Filed under: Eubacterium sp.
Lineage: Bacteria; Bacillati; Bacillota; Clostridia; Eubacteriales; Eubacteriaceae
Description: 6S RNA
Rfam family: 6S / SsrS RNA
About the family: E. coli 6S RNA was the first non coding RNA to be sequenced, but its function was unknown until recently. It consists of 184 nucleotides that fold into an extended hairpin structure with a large single-stranded internal bulge.
Source: RNAcentral
UAUUUCCUGGGGUGUUCGAUAACCCGCUAUUUUGAACCUACAUUUUGUUUUACGGGAUUCCAAGAUUUUGGAGUGGAUGUCAGGCCAUCAUUACGCAGUGGAAGGCAGAAGCGCCAUUGAGGUUACCCACCUAGCUUUGCUAGGCGUCAAAAUUGCGGGACCGGCAUUUUGGGAAUACU